This 429-nucleotide ribosomal RNA is filed under the name Chloroflexota bacterium. Its description in RNAcentral is "Chloroflexi bacterium partial 16S ribosomal RNA". It matches the Rfam family "Bacterial small subunit ribosomal RNA", at positions 355 to 776 of the family's 1533-position model. The record is from RNAcentral. RNAcentral also lists the same sequence under 1 other name. Lineage: Bacteria; Bacillati; Chloroflexota.
UAGGGAAUCUUCGGCAAUGGACGAAAGUCUGACCGAGCAACGCCGCGUGAGUGAAGAAGGUUUUCGGAUCGUAAAACUCUGUUGUUAGAGAAGAACAAGGACGUUAGUAACUGAACGUCCCCUGACGGUAUCUAACAAGAAAGCCACGGCUAACUACGUGCCAGCAGCCGCGGUAAUACGUAGGUGGCAAGCGUUGUCCGGAUUUAUUGGGCGUAAAGCGAGCGCAGGCGGUUUCUUAAGUCUGAUGUGAAAGCCCCCGGCUCAACCGGGGAGGGUCAUUGGAAACUGGGAGACUUGAGUGCAGAAGAGGAGAGUGGAAUUCCAUGUGUAGCGGUGAAAUGCGUAGAUAUAUGGAGGAACACCAGUGGCGAAGGCGGCUCUCUGGUCUGUAACUGACGCUGAGGCUCGAAAGCGUGGGGAGCAAACAGG